CUUAGCGGCGAAUGGGUGAGUAACACGUACUCAACGUACCCUUUAGAUUGGGAUAGCAAGUGGAAACAUUUGAUAAUACCAAAUACCUAUCAUUUUCGCAUGAAGAUGAUACAAAAGGUCCGUUUGGACCGCUAAAGGAUCGGGGUGCGCAACAUUAGCUAGUUGGUGAGGUAAAGGCCCACCAAGGCGAUGAUGUUUAGCGGGGUUGAGAGACUGAUCCGCCACACUGGGACUGAGAUACGGCCCAGACUCCUACGGGAGGCAGCAGUAGGGAAUAUUCCACAAUGAGCGAAAGCUUGAUGGAGCGACACAGCGUGCAGGAUGAAGGUCCUAUGGAUUGUAAACUGCUGUGGUAAGGGAAGAAAAAACAGUAUAGGAAAUGAUAUUGUUCUGACGGUACCUUAUUAGAAAGCAACGGCUAACUAUGUGCCAGCAGCCGCGGUAAUACAUAGGUUGCAAGCGUUAUCCGGAAUUAUUGGGCGUAAAGCGUCUGUAGGUUGUUUGUUAAGUCUGGCGUCAAAAUUUGGGGCUCAACCCCAAACCGCGUUGGAUACUGGCAAGCUAGAGUUAUGUAGAGGUAAGCGGAAUUCCUUGUGAAGCGGUGAAAUGCGUAGAUAUAAGGAAGAACACCAAUUUGGCGAAGGCAGCUUACUGGACAUAUACUGACACUGAGAGACGAAAGCGUGGGGAGCAAACAGGAUUAGAUACCCUGGUAGUCCACGCCCUAAACGAUGAUCAUUAGCUGAUGGGGAACUCAUCGGCGCAGCUAACGCAUUAAAUGAUCCGCCUGAGUAGUACGUUCGCAAGAAUAAAACUUAAAGGAAUUGACGGGGAUCCGCACAAGCGGUGGAGCAUGUGGUUUAAUUUGAAGAUACGCGUAGAACCUUACCCACUUUUGACAUCUUCCGCAAAGCUAUGGAGACAUAGU
This 928-nucleotide ribosomal RNA is filed under the name Mycoplasmopsis lipofaciens. Its description in RNAcentral is "bacterial SSU rRNA". It matches the Rfam family "Bacterial small subunit ribosomal RNA", at positions 91 to 1012 of the family's 1533-position model. Lineage: Bacteria; Bacillati; Mycoplasmatota; Mycoplasmoidales; Metamycoplasmataceae. The record is from RNAcentral.